This 798-nucleotide ribosomal RNA is filed under the name Dendropsophus labialis (green dotted treefrog). RNAcentral's name for it is "partial 16S ribosomal RNA". Lineage: Eukaryota; Metazoa; Chordata; Amphibia; Anura; Hylidae. The record is from RNAcentral.
GCGGCUGCACCACUAGGAUACCCUGAUCCAACAUCGAGGUCGUAAGCCCACCUGUCGAUAGGAGCUCUUGAGGUGGAUUGCGCUGUUAUCCCUAGGGUAACUUGGUUCGUUGAUCAAAAUAUUGGGUCAAUUUAUGUCAAUUUAUUGGUGCUUGAAGUUGUAGCUUUUUGCUCAGAAGUGGCUUCUUUCAAUGUGGAGGUUAAUUUUUGCUCCGCGGUCACCCCAACCUAAAACUAAUAGUCAUGUGUGCUGGAAUAGGUGUUAUGAUUCUGAAAUAUAUUGGUAUAUAAGCUAUUGCUAUUUAGUUUGAAGCUCCAUAGGGUCUUCUCGUCUUAUAAAAUAAUCCCCGCUUCUUCACGGGGAGAUCAGUUUCAUUGAUUAGAAAAAGGAGACAGUAUAACCCUCGUGGUGCCAUUCAUACUAGUCCUCAUUUAAAGAACAAGUGAUUACGCUACCUUCGCACGGUUAGGAUACCGCGGCCGUUGAACUCAGUCACUGGGCAGGCUGGACCUCUUAUAUUUAGGCAAGAGGCGAUGUUUUUGGUAAACAGGCGAGGUUAAUGUUUGCCGAGUUCCUUCUUUUUCUUUUAAUCUUUCUUGAGAUGUUCUGGUGUUAGAUUAACGUUGGUUAAAACAGGGUUUUCUAGUGGGGUUGCUGUUUUAAGUUCAUUAGCAUUAAUUAUCAGUGGUUAGUCCUUUCUGAUUUACACUUACAUCUAAGAGAAGGCCAUCUUCUUAUUACUAGUUUUAACAUAAUUGCUUCUAUAGGUUUAUAGAAUAGCUUAAUAUAAAUAAAGGG